UACGUAGGGGGCUAGCGUUGUCCGGAUUUAUUGGGCGUAAAGAGCGUGUAGGCGGCCAGAUAGGUCUGCUGUGAAAACUCGAGGCUCAACCUCGAGCUGUCGGCGGAAACCAUCCGGCUAGAGUCCGGAAGAGGGGGGCGGAAUUCCCAGUGUAGCGGUGAAAUGCGUAGAGAUGUGGAGGAACACCGAUGGCGAAGGCAGCCCCCUGGGAUGAGACUGACGCUCAUGUACGAAAGCGUGGGGAGCAAACAGG
Molecule: ribosomal RNA, 253 nt
Filed under: uncultured bacterium
Lineage: Bacteria
Description: partial 16S ribosomal RNA
Rfam family: Bacterial small subunit ribosomal RNA
Source: RNAcentral